AGCUUGCUAGUAAUGGGUCAUUGCAUCUGGCUGUUGACCAGAAUGUUGGUGGUUCAAGCCCACCCAGGGCUG
This is a non-coding RNA of Podarcis lilfordi (Lilford's wall lizard), 72 nucleotides long. The record is from the annotation of a GenBank genome assembly. NCBI's taxonomy places the organism in Eukaryota, Metazoa, Chordata, Lepidosauria, Squamata, Lacertidae.